Molecule: transfer RNA, 58 nt
Filed under: Salmo salar (Atlantic salmon)
Lineage: Eukaryota; Metazoa; Chordata; Actinopteri; Salmoniformes; Salmonidae
Rfam family: tRNA
About the family: Transfer RNA (tRNA) molecules are approximately 80 nucleotides in length. Their secondary structure includes four short double-helical elements and three loops (D, anti-codon, and T loops).
Source: Rfam by way of RNAcentral
UAGCUCAGUUGGUAGAACAUGGUGUUUACAAUGCCAGGGUUGUGGGUUUGAUUCCCAC